Molecule: long non-coding RNA, 204 nt
Filed under: Brassica napus (rape)
Lineage: Eukaryota; Viridiplantae; Streptophyta; Magnoliopsida; Brassicales; Brassicaceae
Description: long non-coding RNA (BNAP_LNC000288)
Source: RNAcentral
AAACAUUAGAAAUAUAUACUUAUGUAUAUAUAAUUAAGUAUUUAAAGUAGUUAUUUAAGUUUUAAAUACGUAUUGUUAGAUACCAUAUCAAAAUAAAUAUGAAAUUGAAUAUUUGAAGUAUAUAUUCAUGUUUCGUAUAAUUAUAUUGUAUAUUAGUUUCGAUAUUCGGAAUGAUUUCUUUAGAUAUUUUUUUCGGAGUUUUUG